RNAcentral lists this long non-coding RNA (713 nucleotides) under Homo sapiens (human). Its description in RNAcentral is "non-protein coding lnc-XPO4-3:1". The record is from RNAcentral. Lineage: Eukaryota; Metazoa; Chordata; Mammalia; Primates; Hominidae.
AUGACUGCCCAAGGAGAGUCCCAAGUCCAGUUCAAACUUGUAUUGGUUGGUGAUGGUGGUACUGGAAAAACUAGAUUUAUGAAAUGUCAGUUGGUGAAUUUGAGACGUACAUAGCUACCUUGGGUAUUGAGGUUCAUUGCCUUGUGUUGCACACCAACAGAGGACCCAUUCAUUGUAUGGGAUACAGCUGGCCAGAAGAAAUUUGGUGGAGUGAGAGAUGGCUAUUAUAUCCAAGCCCAGCAUGCCAUUAUAAUGUUUGAUGUGAUAUCGAGAGUUACUUACAAGAAUGUGCCCUAACUGGCACAGAGAUCUGGUACGUUUAUGUGAAAACAUCCCCAUUGUGUUGAGGGCAACUGAGUGGGUAUAAAGGACAGGAAAGUGAAGGCAAAAUCCGUUCUCUUCCACCAAAAGAAGAAUCUUCAGUACUAUGACAUUUCUGCCAAAAGUUACUGCAACUUUGAAAAGCUCUUCCUCUGGCUUGCUAGGAAGCUUAUUGGAGACCCUAACUUGGAGUUUGUUGCCAUACCUGCCCUUGCCCCAUCAGAGGCUGUCAUGGACUCAGCAUCAACAGUGCAAUAUGAGCACGAUUUAAAUAGAAGUUGUUCAGAGAUCAUCAUCUCCCUGAUGAGGGUGAUAACCUGUGAGAAUGAAGCUGGAGCCUAGCAUCAGAAGUCUAGUUUUAUUUGUCCUGUGAUAUCAGCAGUGCAACAUUU